RNAcentral lists this transfer RNA (67 nucleotides) under Rhyacophila kando. RNAcentral describes it as "tRNA-Ile". Lineage: Eukaryota; Metazoa; Arthropoda; Insecta; Trichoptera; Rhyacophilidae. The record is from RNAcentral.
AAUAAAAUGCCUGAUUAAUAGGAUUACUUUGAUAGAGUAAAAUAUAAAGAAUUUUCUUUUUUUAUUA